GACGUAGGGCGCGAGCGUUGUCCGGAUUUAUUGGGCGUAAAGAGCUCGUAGGCGGCUUGUCGCGUCGAAUGUGAAAACCCACGGCUCAACUGUGGGCUUGCAUUCGAUACGGGCAGGCUAGAGUUCGGUAGGGGGAGACUGGAAUUCCUGGUGUAGCGGUGAAAUGCGCAGAUAUCAGGAGGAACACCGGUGGCGAAGGCGGGCUCACUGGGCCUA
RNAcentral lists this ribosomal RNA (216 nucleotides) under uncultured bacterium. RNAcentral's name for it is "partial 16S ribosomal RNA". It matches the Rfam family "Bacterial small subunit ribosomal RNA", at positions 524 to 737 of the family's 1533-position model. The record is from RNAcentral.